UUAGCUGAUGCAGUUAAAAGCUCGUAGUUGGAUCUAGGGACGCGCAUUUCAAGCGCCCGUGCCAUCGGGUCAAACCGGUGGCUGCGUUGGCGUUGCGGGCUCGGUCCGUCGGUGCCCCACAAAGGUUAUCGGCGUGUCAACCGGCCCGCCCGUCCCCUCCUUCUGGAUUCCCGUUCCUGCUAUUGAGUUAGUGGGGACGUCACAGGGGGUUCAUCGUCGGCGUUUCAACGCGUCGGCGGUGGAUCUCUGGGGCCCAGAUCGUUUACCGUGAAAAAAUUAGAGUGUUCAAAGCAGGCAGAUUCAAUUUUCUGCCACCGAAUACAUUAGCAUGGGAUAAUGGAAUAGGACCCUGUCCUCCUAUUUUCAGUUGGUUUUGGCGAAGCUAGGACCAGGGUGAAAACCACUACGGGGCCCAGCGGGGGUAUCAAAUUAAAAAAGACAGAGGUGAAAUUCUUGGAAUUUAUGAAAGAUUAAACUUCUGCGAAAGCAUCUGCCAAGGAUGUUUUCAUUAAUCAAAGAACGAAAGUUAGGGGAUCGAAAACGAUUCACAUACCGUCGUAGUCUUAACCCAUAAACGAUGCCGACCAGGGAUUAGGAGACGUUGAAUACAAAACACCACCAUCGGCGCGGUCGUCCUUGGCGCGUUCGUGUUCACGCACGGGCGCGCGAGGGCGGUUUAGCCCGGUGGCACCGGUGAAUGACUCCCCUAGCAGCUUGUGAGAAAUCAUAAGUCUUUGGGUUCCGGGGGGAGUAUGGUCGCAAGGCUGAAACUUAAAGGAAUUGACGGAAGGGCACCACCAGGAGUGGAGCCUGCGGCUUAAUUUGACUCAACACGGGGAAACUUACCAGGUCCGGACAUAGUAAGGAUUGACAGAUUGAUAGCUCUUUCUUGAUUCUAUGGGUGGUGGUGCAUGGCCGUCUUAGUGGUGGAGUGAUGGCCGC
Molecule: ribosomal RNA, 942 nt
Filed under: Acanthamoeba sp.
Lineage: Eukaryota; Discosea; Longamoebia; Acanthamoebidae
Description: SSU rRNA
Rfam family: Eukaryotic small subunit ribosomal RNA
Source: RNAcentral